This 569-nucleotide ribosomal RNA is filed under the name Orus sp. NHMD DZ-20.6. RNAcentral's name for it is "partial large subunit ribosomal RNA". It matches the Rfam family "Eukaryotic large subunit ribosomal RNA", at positions 604 to 824 of the family's 3401-position model. Lineage: Eukaryota; Metazoa; Arthropoda; Insecta; Coleoptera; Staphylinidae. The record is from RNAcentral.
GCACCUGGACUGCGCCUUCUGAAUCCGAUGCCGGCGGCGAACGCGUGCACUUCUCCCCUAGUAGGACGUCGCGACCCGUUGGGCGCCGGUCUACGGCCGACGGUGGAGCCUUGGGGGCGCCAUUUAUUUGGUACUUGCCUUCAAGACCCGUCGUGUCCCGGCCGGCCCGCUCGACGGUAAGACAAAGACGUGGGGUCGCGAUUAAGUUCGCGUCCGGCCCGUCACAAGUGCGAGCGACUGCUCGGACGUCGGACCUGUGUGCCGACCUCGAGCUCGCGCGGCUGUUGGUGACGGUGUCCUCGGACAGACUUCGAACACGUCGGUCGGCGACGCUUUAGCUUUGGGUACUUUCAGGACCCGUCUUGAAACACGGACCAAGGAGUCUAGCAUGUGCGCGAGUCGUUGGGACCGCAUCUAAACCUAAAGGCGAAAUGAAAGUGAAGGCCGCCUUGCGCGUGCCGAGGGAGGAUGGGUCGGCCAAUCGUGCCGCUACCUCGCACUCCCGGGGCGUCUCGUUCUCAUCGCGAGAUAAGGCGCACCCAGAGCGUACACGCUACGACCCGAAAGAU